RNAcentral lists this ribosomal RNA (477 nucleotides) under uncultured bacterium. Its description in RNAcentral is "partial 16S ribosomal RNA". It matches the Rfam family "Bacterial small subunit ribosomal RNA", at positions 28 to 523 of the family's 1533-position model. The record is from RNAcentral.
GACGAACGCUGGCGGCGUGCUUAACACAUGCAAGUCGAACGGUAAGGCCCUUCGGGGUACACGAGUGGCGAACGGGUGAGUAACACGUGGGUGAUCUGCCCUGCACUUUGGGAUAAGCCUGGGAAACUGGGUCUAAUACCGGAUAGGACCAUGCGCUUCCCGGUGUGGGUGGAAAGCUUUUGCGGUGUGGGAUGGGCCCGCGGCCUAUCAGGUUGUUGGUGGGGUAAUGGCCUACCAAGGCGACGACGGGUAGCCGGCCUGAGAGGGUGACCGGCCACACUGGGACUGAGAUACGGCCCAGACUCCUACGGGAGGCAGCAGUGGGGAAUAUUGCACAAUGGGCGCAAGCCUGAUGCAGCGACGCCGCGUGAGGGAUGACGGCCUUCGGGUUGUAAACCUCUUUCAGUAGGGACGAAGCGCAAGUGACGGUACCUACAGAAGAAGGACCGGCCAACUACGUGCCAGCCGCCGCGGUAA